AACCUGCGGAAGGAUCAUUAUCAAAAGUCAAGUCGGGGGCUGUAAAGCUCUCGUCUACACCCAUGUCUUUUGCGUACUCUUGUUUCCUCGGUGGCGCAAGCUGCCGAUUGGACAAACCAAAACCUUUUUUGUAAUUGCAAUCAGCGUCUGAAAAUAAUCUAAUUAUUUACAACUUUCAACAACGGAUCUCUUGGUUCUGGCAUCGAUGAAGAACGCAGCGAAAUGCGAUAAGUAGUGUGAAUUGCAGAAUUCAGUGAAUCAUCGAAUCUUUGAACGCACAUUGCGCCCCUUGGUAUUCCAUGGGGCAUGCCUGUUCGAGCGUCAUUUGUACCCUCAAGCUUUGCUUGGUGUUGGGCGUCUUGUCGUAUUACGACUCGCCUUAAAUUCAUUGGCAGCCGGCACUUUGGCCUAGGAGCGCAGCACAUUUUGCGAUCGUAGCCCGUUGCACUGGCGUCCAUCAAGAACAUUUACCACGUUUGACCUCGGAUCAGGUAGGGAU
RNAcentral lists this ribosomal RNA (499 nucleotides) under Setophoma terrestris. RNAcentral's name for it is "eukaryotic LSU rRNA". The stretch from base 171 to 324 matches the Rfam family "5.8S ribosomal RNA". The record is from RNAcentral. Lineage: Eukaryota; Fungi; Ascomycota; Dothideomycetes; Pleosporales; Phaeosphaeriaceae.